UUGGCUCCGGUAUGUUUCAGCGA
RNAcentral lists this microRNA (23 nucleotides) under Oreochromis niloticus (Nile tilapia). RNAcentral describes it as "oni-miR-10656". Lineage: Eukaryota; Metazoa; Chordata; Actinopteri; Cichliformes; Cichlidae. The record is from miRBase by way of RNAcentral.